Molecule: long non-coding RNA, 294 nt
Filed under: Mytilus galloprovincialis (Mediterranean mussel)
Lineage: Eukaryota; Metazoa; Mollusca; Bivalvia; Mytilida; Mytilidae
Source: RNAcentral
UGGAAUUCUGUGGUGUAGUUUUAGAGUUGUGAUGACAAAAUUAAGACUGACAGACUGAUAUGUCAAAAACAUUAUAUCCUUGAAACUUUGUUGCGUGGGGAAUAAUUAUAUUACUACAGUUUAAUGUUGAUAACAAUUUUGUCCAGAUUACCCUUUUUGCUGCUUGAAAGAAAUACCUGUGUAUUGCUUUAAUAAUUUUUUUGUCAUAGGGAAGACAAAUUUCAAAUAUAAUUAUGAUCACUUAUUGCAGUUGAGUAUAUUAAUCCUUGGUUUCUCUUAAACAAAUGAACAAGG